Beta vulgaris subsp. vulgaris (sugar beet) is the source of this 1957-nucleotide long non-coding RNA. RefSeq lists it as uncharacterized. The record is from RefSeq and is a predicted model, not a curated record. The transcript has 3 exons. Lineage: Eukaryota; Viridiplantae; Streptophyta; Magnoliopsida; Caryophyllales; Amaranthaceae.
UCGACAAUACUCGUGCAAGGCACCUGACAUAUACUUUAAUUUUGUCAAUGCUUUAAUUAGCAAAAUUCGACUUCCCAGUUCCCACUUCUUCAAACCUCAACUGCUCCCCCCAAUAUGCCUCAAACCCUAAAUUGAGUUCAUCAGUUCUCUGAUAUGCAAUUCGCACGUCGGGUGUUUUCGAAUUCCCCUUGAUCUGGUCAUCUUCAACCUCCAUCAGUUAGCGCAAUUCGGAAGCUGCGAGAUUAGACAAUUUGACAUCGAAAAUUGGGGAAUUUCAUUAGAAUUCUUCUGAUUCGCAGUCUCACAGAUUUUGAACUUCCAAUUUUUCUUGGAUUAUUCUUUUUUCCCUCUCAUCAUCUUCGGCUCUUAACUGCUUGGUCGCUAAGAGAACCAAAUCAACUGCUAAUUCAAAUUUUGUUUGUAACAGGCAAGUUAUUAUGGUUUUAUCUUCCAUAAUUCUAGUUUUAAUUUCUAAUUGUGCUAUUCUUUGUGAGUCUAGUUAAAGAUGAGUUUUUGUUUGAUAUUUUUGUAAUCUUGCUAUGCGUUUUCCAGGUAAAUUUGCCUUCAUGCUUCUCUGGUAUUUUAUCUUAUUGUUUAUCUUCUAUCUCUUUCCUAGUUACUGUUUGUUGAAUGUUGAUCUCUAUAUGCCAUUUCAUUCUCAUAAAUGUCUAAGAGAGUGUCUAGAUUAUGCUCUAUGCUUGAGGUUAAUGCUAUCUAGAGGGUUGACAUUCUGUGCUUAGUUUCUAAGCAUAGAAUAAAGUGAUAAGGAACUGGAACAAAAACAAAUUAAUAGAAGUUAAUAAUACCUUAACAGGAGGAAAAGGAGGGUGAUUAUGGUUUUAGUUUUUGUUUGUUCUAAUCUAUGCAUUUCUUGGUCCGCUCACAGAAUUCUGUACGCUAGAGAUUACUUGAUAUUAUCAGUACAUUGUUAAAUUCUUUUUAAUAUUCAAUGAAGCAAGAUGAACAAAUAAAUAACAUCGCACAAUUCCUAAAUAGAGGUGUUGUAUUGGUCUAUUUUAUAUCAGAUAUGAUUGGUUGUACCUUCUGAAGGCUUAAAUAAAUAGAUUAGGAAAAAAAAGCUUUGUUCAUUGUCUAAUCCGAGCCUGGUAGCCUUACACAUUAGUUGGUAUAAAUCUAUCUGCAAAUCAGAUCAAAGUAAUCUACUAGACCAUAGGGAGUGUUUUCUUGGGUUGAUUUCGCCUUAUCUUCACUUAUGGCAGCGAUGAUAUUUACCCCGGGUGCAAUUACAUCAGGCUGAAAGCAUACUUUGAUUUAGAAAAUGAGUAACACCUCAAAUAACAAGAAUAUAUAUAAAAGAGAAUUAGAAAUAGAUAAUUCUGAUACUGAUUGUCAGAUUAAUCAUUGAGGAUGAAUCUUGAAUUUUGCAAGUACCUUCCGAAUCCGUUUAACUAGUCUGAAAUUGUCAUAUGUUUUUUCUCUGUUUGAUUGUUUAUGUUUGGCAUAUAAAAGAAAAUAUUAACAUGUGCGAAUAUUUUGAUAUACCUCAAAAUUGGGAAUUAUUUUUGGUGUAUUGACUGUAUCUUGUUCUCACUGUUCUUAUAUUAGCAUUGUUAGCACAUCACAAUAAUAAUUUAGUCAUUUUCUUAGAUUUAGUGCAUUUAUAUAAUUAUAUAAGUUGUAGUUAUUUGUGUUACAGCUUCUGUUGAAGAAAACAAUGAUAGGAGAAGCAACACCAAAGAUCACCCCCUAGGCCAUUGGUUCAUGAAUUUUUCAGAGGCAGACAAACUACUCAAACUUGCUGCCGCUCGUCAACAGGAUAAUGCCGAUCGAACGUCUUCAUUUGUUGUGCUCAUUAAUCUACUACGUCCACUGGACCACUCAAGAUGGCCAGCGCCAGCAUCAAAUGAAGCCUUUACUGUCAGAAAUCAGAAGUUCUCUGAUCUUGUUGUCAAAUGUCUGAUCAAACUAACAAAGGUAACAUCCUCAUUUAACAGAC